AGCAGUAGCGCGGUAAUACAGAGGGUGCGAGCGUUAAUCGGAUUUACUGGGCGUAAAGCGUGCGUAGGCGGCUUCUUAAGUCGGAUGUGAAAUCCCUGAGCUUAACUUAGGAAUUGCAUUCGAUACUGGGAAGCUAGAGUAUGGGAGAGGAUGGUAGAAUUCCAGGUGUAGCGGUGAAAUGCGUAGAGAUCUGGAGGAAUACCGAUGGCGAAGGCAGCCAUCUGGCCUAAUACUGACGCUGAGGUACGAAAGCAUGGGGAGCAAACAGGAUUAGAUACCCGGGUAGUCCCUGUCUCUUAUACC
RNAcentral lists this ribosomal RNA (303 nucleotides) under uncultured bacterium. RNAcentral describes it as "partial 16S ribosomal RNA". It matches the Rfam family "Bacterial small subunit ribosomal RNA", at positions 510 to 808 of the family's 1533-position model. The record is from RNAcentral.